RNAcentral lists this transfer RNA (74 nucleotides) under Bacilli bacterium. RNAcentral describes it as "tRNA-Thr". It matches the Rfam family "tRNA". Rfam says of the family: Transfer RNA (tRNA) molecules are approximately 80 nucleotides in length. Their secondary structure includes four short double-helical elements and three loops (D, anti-codon, and T loops). Further hydrogen bonds mediate the characteristic L-shaped molecular structure. tRNAs have two regions of fundamental functional importance: the anti-codon, which is responsible for specific mRNA codon recognition, and the 3' end, to which the tRNAs corresponding amino acid is attached (by aminoacyl-tRNA synthetases). tRNAs cope with the degeneracy of the genetic code in two manners: having more than one tRNA (with a specific anti-codon) for a particular amino acid; and 'wobble' base-pairing, i.e. permitting non-standard base-pairing at the 3rd anti-codon position. RNAcentral also lists the same sequence under 1 other name. The record is from RNAcentral. Lineage: Bacteria; Bacillati; Bacillota; Bacilli.
GCCCCCUUAGUUAAAUGGCAUAACGGAUCCAUGGUAAGGAUCUGUUCUUGGUUCGAUUCCGAGAGGGGGCACCA